Long non-coding RNA from Passer domesticus (house sparrow), 4183 nucleotides. RefSeq lists it as uncharacterized. NCBI's taxonomy places the organism in Eukaryota, Metazoa, Chordata, Aves, Passeriformes, Passeridae. The transcript is spliced from 3 exons. The record is from RefSeq and is a predicted model, not a curated record.
UAAAAGGCUGGGCUGAGGAACAAGAAGGGCAAUGCUUGCAGCCCCUUCUGGAGUGGAAUGGUGUUACUCUGUAUGGGCAGACACCUGAAGCCUUCUGGUGUGGUAUGGUGUUACUGUGUACCGGCUGAAGCCUUCUGAAAUUUUAUGGUGACACUCUGUGUAUUGGGGCUGUCUGGACUGUGGCAUGUCCUGAGACACACACCAACAUAAAUCAAGUCCUCCCAGUGUGCACAGGGAUACACUGUCAGCAUCUCAAGAUUAUUUGACCGUGAUCUGGGAUGAGCUCAGAUGUGUGCAAGCCUUGAUUCAAAGCAGAAGGAAAAUGGCAUGCAGAUCCUUAUAAUGAAUUUUUGAAGAAACGCUCCAGGCUGUGCCUAAGUGGGAGCAACUCCUUCAAAUCUAGCUCUGAUCAUUAACUCAUGAGCACAGCAUGAUGAUGUGCUUCAGCUGGGGAUGCCUUUGGAAAUGCAGGUCUCAGAGGAAAGGACUGGUAACAGCCCUCCCAUCGAGCCACAAGAGCAGAGGAGAAGGAGAACAGAGCAUCAGGAACCAGGGCAGAAAGACCUAAAGAUGUGGUGUCUGCUUGCCCAUAGUAAGAAGUUCUUCCAAGGGGAGAUGUCUUCAGAAAAUAUGGCAUGUCCAUCCUGGGAAGGAAAACAGGGAGAAGGGGAGGUACUAUCAGAAACCAUUUCUGAAAAUUGCUGCCGAUUAGUGUGUAUUACAGCUGCCCAUCAGCUGUUCCCCUUUGAUUUGCCCUCACAGAAGCUGCCUGUAGCAGCAACGUUUGUCCCAGUGCUGCUGAGAGGAGGUGGGCACUCAUUCACCUGCUGGUGACAUGGGGUCAGCUUGUUCAGAGCCACUUCCAGCCCCACAUUUGCUUGAGCACCCGCUGAGGACACAGUGCUUGUACUCUCUAGCCCUGCUCAACCCCUUGUCAAUAAGGCAGCCCACUGCUCGUCAGUGAGUAAUGCCCACAGCCAGUGCCAUGCCACAGGGACAAUGACACUGUCCCCAGCCCCAGUGGCUCUCCCUCAUCCACUCACCCACUGUACUGUAAUUCAAGUCAGACGUGUCACAGUCAGCCACCUCCGGCUACCCUGUCCUAGCAGGCACAGUCUGUUGGAACAAUUUUAGCAAAACAGGAAGAGGAGAUAGAAACCAGUAGCUGACUAAUAAGAGAGAAGGGUGGCUUAGCUGCGAUGUGUGAGGGUGAUAGAUACCUUUUUGUAGUGCUCAAAUUAGCACCUUUCAAGAUACAGCGCAGCUGUGGCUGAAAACUCCCCUCACUCAGCCAGGCCAUGCGACUGUCCUGUCCUAUGCUGAGUGUGAACAGUGCAUGGCCCAGGAACUGCAUCUGCUUCAUGCUAUGUCAUGUUCUGAAGACUGGUGUCACUGCUAUUUUAUAGCAAUAGGCACUUUUGCAGGAGAAAAAUAUGUACAGGAAGCUCUCCAAGGUCAAUAUAACAGUCUAAAUAGCCAGAUGCUAUUUCCUUGUGAAUUACAAGGUUGAGCUGCCAAACAUCUCUUAGUUAUGUAAAUUAUGAAAAUUCUGAGAACUGCAGUGCAGACAAAAAGAUCUAUGGCUGUUGAAUCAUUUUCUCUGGUUCAGAAAUGACCAUAUCUUACCCUUUUGUUCCAUACUUUAUUUGCAUUGCAUUAUUGUGUUUCUUCCUGUCAGAUAUAGGAAUGAAGCUAACAUCUUUGCUUUAGGAUAUUGUUCUUUUAUUAUCAAAAAGGCGUUCAGCAGGCUCACAGAGAUUCUUUUCAGACAUGGAGAAAAUAAUAUGGAACCAGAACUGAGCUAUUCCUUUUAAGCUAUCUGCAGUUAAAGUGAUUAUUAAACCCCAGGACAGGUUUAAGGGUAAUCCAGAUGAAUAUUGUUUUCUUCAAAGCAAUAGUGAAGUCAUCUGCUUUUUCCUUGUUGCCUUAGGACUGACAUUAGUAAAGGCAUACCAAGUGAAAUUGGGAACUAUUUUCCUCUACUUCCUUUAAAGUUCAAUUUUUAUCAUUUACUCUUGUAGUUAUCUGAUGUAAAGAAGACUACUUCCUUUUUGAAAAAUGCCAUGGAUAAGUGUUGUUUUCCCACUUUCACUUGGGAAACAUGGUAAAAAAAUCCCAUGAGAUGAAAAUGAACUCCUUUUCCGGAACAAUAAAUAAAUAAGGGCUGUGCAGAAAACAAGCAGGAGCAAUUUGAAAUAUGUGACUGCAGAACAGAUAUGAGGAUAGCAGUGUGUUAAUGCUAUAGACCUGAGUCUCAUCUAAGAAACAGGGGGUAAAUGCUUUUUUAUUUGUGGAUAAAGUCAAAUGACAGCAGACAAAAUAUUAACGAAAAAUAUAGGGCACAACAUUUCAUGAAACAAUUUAUAAUACCAGGACUGCCCAUGUCAGGACAAAUUUGAGUGGGAAAUGCACCUAAGUUGGAAUAAUUAGGGUUAAUAGGCCCUUUGCAUUGUAAUGAAUAAUUAUUUAAUUCACAGGUCAAAGUCAGUCUCUUUGGGUUCUUCUGAUAUUUUUCUAUUUAGUAGAGUGUAAGAGGAUAAUAGCUGAAACAAGCAGCACUGCAUCUCGAGGAGGUUUGUUGUCCAUAUAAAAUCAAUCAUUAAAGUUAAUUCUACUUCAUUCACUGCUUCCCCGGUUUGAUCUUCCCAGCUGCUUCCCUGGAGAAACAACAUUCCUAUUUUUUUAUUUUUUUGCUGUUAAUCUUCCUUGGUCUUACAUGGCUUCUUGCAGUGGUGCUGUCAGCAAGAUGAUGUCUAGUCCCAAUUAGAAAUUCAAUCAAUAUUCACAUAAUGAGGGUUCUAGCAAAACCAUGUCAUUUAGUUCAAAGACAUGGAUAUAUUACUGUAGCAAUUCAGGAUUCAAGUAAUUUAGGGCACCUCAGUGAAAAAAGAUAAAAUAAUGCUGAAGGGCUUAGAGGUAGUUAAUUGUUACUAUGGCAACUUCCUAAAUAAGCUUUAGAUUCUAGUCAUUUUUCAGUUUAUUUGGAGGCAGAACAGAAUCAUUAAAGAUGAAACUUAUUUAAAGCUCAGAACAGUUAUGGGAUCUUAUAGUUUCCUUGCUGUUCCUUAUAGAGUUACUUAAAGUUUGUCCACCUCAACUUUGAACUAUGUACAAGAGCAAGAUGCAGCCUGCAUAGAUUAAAAAAAAAAGCCAGCAUGUUAUGUAACAAUGAUCUAAUUUAGUAACUUGGGUAAUUGUGUUUUUACAUGUUCUUUGUCCCAGCAGAACUCUUUAAAAAGUAUUGUGUAGGAAAGAAGUGGUCCUCAGCAAAGAAUGCUCUCACCUGUCCAUAAAAUGGUGUUAUUAAGAUCUGAUUUUCAACAAUGGGCACUGAUGGUGAGGGCACAUUUGUUCCUUCCUUCCACAAACCCCCAAGUGUAGAAUAGCAGGGGGAUGCAUUUUGGCCUGGUCCUUAGCCAGUGCUGUAACAAAUGUGAUGAUAAGGACCCAGGGAAAGGCUGCCAUAUCAAAAUCUUGCCAUGCUGACUGUCCAUUUGUGUUCUUAAUGUGAAUGAAUACAUUUGGCCUCUGUGGGGCUGCAUCACUGGGCAGAUCCAAAGAGCCUUCUACAGGCAGCAUGGAGACAGCAGAGAGACAACAGAGCUCAGAAAACUCUCAGUCCCUGGACAUUAGUUAGGUGGAGAUCCAGAUCACCUAAACUUUUUGCAUGAUCUCAGCAGCUAUAACUCACCUCCUUAUCCACUCCAGAGCGCGUGACAAACCAGCCGAGGCCGUGAAAUAAAAUCGUGUCUCAGUAGGAGACACCCCCUGGCUUCUCACAGAAGUAAAUUCAUACCUCAGACCUGUUCUCACUCUUCUGGAGGCUGGAAAUCUCUGAAGCCACUGAGUCAUAACUGCAAAGUUGUCAGGGAGUGAUGCCUUAGGUGUGAAGAUACAUAGAAGACUCCCCUGGAGGUGAAGGUAUAAGCAGUGCAGACUAAAGUGAUGUGUUCUUCUAAAACAAAAAAGCAGGACAGGUUACCUGGCUGUGAGCUCAGUGCUGCAAGGGUGAGCAGCAGCUGCUUGCAGGCAUCUUUAAGCCAACCUUAAGGAGAUGAACUGAGCAGGAUGGGGAAACUGAGCAACACCGGUUGCUCAAGAGGAGGUAAAGGAGGGCUAGAAGAGUGACAGACUGUUUUAUAUGUAGCUGAUAUGUCAAGAUGACACUGUCAUAAGAUAAUUC